GGUUCAUUCAAAUUUCUUCCCUAUCAACUUUCGAUGUUUGGGUAUUGGCCAAACAUGGUUGCAACGGGUAACGGAGGGUUAGGGCUCGACCCCGGAGAAGGAGCCUGAGAAACGGCUACUACAUCCAAGGAAGGCAGCAGGCGCGCAAAUUAUCCAAUCCCGACCGGGGAGGUAGUGACAAUAAAUACUGAUACAGGGCUCUUUUGGGUCUUGUAAUUGGAAUGAGUACAAUUUAAAUCCCUUAACGAGGAACAAUUGGAGGGCAAGUCUGGUGCCAGCAGCCGCGGUAAUUCCAGCUCCAAUAGCGUAUAUUAAAGUUGUUGUGGUUAAAAAGCUCGUAGUUG
RNAcentral lists this ribosomal RNA (344 nucleotides) under uncultured fungus. RNAcentral describes it as "SSU rRNA". It matches the Rfam family "Eukaryotic small subunit ribosomal RNA", at positions 292 to 636 of the family's 1831-position model. Lineage: Eukaryota; Fungi. The record is from RNAcentral.